UACGUAGGGUGCAAGCGUUAAUCGGAAUUACUGGGCGUAAAGCGUGCGCAGGCGGUUGUGUAAGUCAGAUGUGAAAUCCCCGGGCUUAACCUGGGAAUGGCAUUUGAGACUGCACGGCUAGAGUGUGUCAGAGGGGGGUAGAAUUCCACGUGUAGCAGUGAAAUGCGUAGAGAUGUGGAGGAACACCGAUGGCGAAGGCAGCCCCCUGGGAUAACACUGACGCUCAUGCACGAAAGCGUGGGGAGCAAACAGG
This 253-nucleotide ribosomal RNA is filed under the name uncultured bacterium. RNAcentral describes it as "partial 16S ribosomal RNA". It matches the Rfam family "Bacterial small subunit ribosomal RNA", at positions 524 to 776 of the family's 1533-position model. The record is from RNAcentral.